UUUUUUUUUUUUCAGACAACUUUUAACGAUUUUAUAAACGCUUUCUUACUGCAUAGUUAUCUUGAAUUCAGCUCUAAUGAUGCCAUGUGGGAAUGAUUUUACUUGAGUCUUCGGUUUAAGUUGCUUCCAUUUGUUACUGUGAUCCUGAGUAUUUUUAAUCUUUGUGAACAUCUACCUUUAUGUUUUUUUGCAAUUUUGUUUUAUACUUUUAACUUUGACAAGUUUGUCUUGAUUUUAAAACUUAGUUGUAAUUGUUUCCAAACGGCUGUGAAGCAUGGAAAUGCCAGUUGCUGGCGUUUUCCCAUGUCGGAAACUUUUCCAGGACGAAAAUGGCAGGACACGGCCUUGACCCAUUUUAAGCCUGUGUCUGAAAAUUUUGAAAGAUGGAGACGUGUGUCUGACGAGGAAAUGCAUUUCUUAAAAAAAAAUGAUUAGGUUAAAAAAUUGCAGCAGAAGAAUGGGACCAAAACGCUGCAGAGUUGUUAGAGAUGUGUUAUGCACAAACAGAGGCACAUUGUUAGAGGUUAAAAUUAGAAUAAAAAGGUUCAAAUUCUAUUUUUUUUUUAAUUUAAUUUUGAUCAAUUUUGACUGUUUGGACACAAUUGCAAGUAUAUAUUAAAAUCAGGACAUAUUGCAAAAAUACUUUUAAAAUUUUGAAUCUUUUGCUACUAGGCCUUUUCUCUUAUCCUUUAUCUAAUUCUUUCCAUAUGCAGGAACGACCGAAAUGGUUAGAAG
This 735-nucleotide unclassified non-coding RNA is filed under the name Hevea brasiliensis (rubber tree). The record is from RNAcentral. Lineage: Eukaryota; Viridiplantae; Streptophyta; Magnoliopsida; Malpighiales; Euphorbiaceae.